Long non-coding RNA from Trichechus manatus latirostris (Florida manatee), 365 nucleotides. RefSeq lists it as uncharacterized. The record is from RefSeq and is a predicted model, not a curated record. Lineage: Eukaryota; Metazoa; Chordata; Mammalia; Sirenia; Trichechidae. The transcript is spliced from 3 exons.
AGCAAAUGAAGAAUUUCUACAGAGAGACGGAACACCAGCUGUUCUCAAUAUCAACUCAGCUCUGCAGAGUAGAAAGUGAUUUGAACAGCAGCAUGAGAGACUUAGAUUAUAUAUGGAAGAAUUUCCUGACAGUGAGGGUUGUUAAUGUUGGGAGGUUGUAGAAUCUUCUCUUCUGGAGGUUUUAAAAAUAACAUGGCUCUUCAUCAGCAUUAUUGUGAUACUGUCUAAAGUGUGAACUUAAGCAAAUUUAUAGAAUAAAAGAGUCAAAUGAACAUUAGCUACUUACAUCACUCAAAAUUUACAUCUGUCCUUUUAAAGGAUCCUGGGGAGAAAGGGAAUCAUGGACAGAAAUAUUUCAGUGCCCU